GGGAAGUUGGCUCAGUGGUAGAGUGCUUGCCUCGCAUGCAUGAGGCCUUGGGUUUGAUACCUCAGUCCCA
Molecule: transfer RNA, 70 nt
Filed under: Dipodomys ordii (Ord's kangaroo rat)
Lineage: Eukaryota; Metazoa; Chordata; Mammalia; Rodentia; Heteromyidae
Rfam family: tRNA
About the family: Transfer RNA (tRNA) molecules are approximately 80 nucleotides in length.
Source: Rfam by way of RNAcentral